Pecten maximus is the source of this 1376-nucleotide long non-coding RNA. RefSeq lists it as uncharacterized. NCBI's taxonomy places the organism in Eukaryota, Metazoa, Mollusca, Bivalvia, Pectinida, Pectinidae. The transcript is spliced from 3 exons. The record is from RefSeq and is a predicted model, not a curated record.
UCGCCCCGCCAUAACGCUGUUUAUCGUUAUGGCGCCCCGCUAAACAUCGUCUUUUCGCCUCGCCAUAACGCUGUUUAUCGUUAUGGCGCCUUCCGGCUAGUCAUGCGCUGAGCAAUCUUUCAUAGAAGAUGGCGGAGCAAAGCAGUUACACCAGCCUUUUGAACGGAGACAAUACCACUAGUAUCCUUUUUAUUUAGCUUUAAUAACCUUUUAGGUGAGUUUUAAAAUGGUUUGGUACACAUUGUACCGCUUAUGUUCACUUGUGCUGUUAUCUAUAUGUUCGAAUAUACGGUUAAGUUGCUUUUUCAAUUUUACAUUUUGAAAUCAUAAUUUAUAUUCAGUAAAAAUGUGUAACAUGUUGUUAAAUACAAUUUCUGAUAAUUUUCCUUAAACAUUGUCAGAACAGGAUCUAAUUAGAGAAUAUCAUUUUGCUGGCUACACGUACUCCGAUAUUAUUCUUAUUCUCUUCUACCAACAUCACGUAUCUAUAAGCUGUAGACAACUACAUCGGUACUCAGAUCACUAGGUCUUCGUCGUCAGCAUGCGGUAACGGAUGAAGUAGUUCAAGCUAUACAGGAGCAAUGUGUUGACUCUUCAGCGCGAACUGGACCCGGACGGUGUUCGUAGCAGACAGAUGCACCGAAGGGCCGAAUUACCUUAUACAUGUCGAUGGCUAUGACAAAAUGAAACGAUUUGGUUUUGCCAUUCACCGUGCAAUAUGCGGGUAUUUUUUUCACAUCAAAGCUUAUUUUUCAUUUCUAUCUGAAGUACAGUAUGUAAAUAGGUAUGGAAUAUGUGCGAUAUUAUUUUGAGGUCGAGGUCAAUAUACAUUGUACGUAGCGGUAGAUUAAGUUUCUUGAUUAAAACAAUAUUGGGAAAAAGUCUAGUUUUCUUUCAUAUCAGCUUCACAUAUGUAAGUAUUAAUGAAAUUAUAGGUACAAACUUCCAAUUUCGUUUCUUUUUUCGAAAUAGUCGUGUCUGUUUACAACGACAUUCGAGCGACAUCACACGUGUUUUGACGGUAUGCACAAAGUGAUUUUAAUGUCACCAUGCUAUUUAACAAUUAAAUGAUUGGUAGAUUGUAUUUAUAGUCAAGGUGAAUGCAAUCCGGGUGACAAGGAAAUAUAAUGUUACAUUAACACACGUAAAGUUUUCCUUUUUCUAAAUCCGUAGUUAAUGCUCAGCCAUUCCCCUAGUCUAUGUUCAUUAAAAAACGGCAAACAUAAAAUCCAUUAACCUCCUGUGAUUGAUUUGCAUUCAAACUGACACAGCCAUAUUUCAAAGAAUCGCCGUGGUGAUGGUAGACAAAGCGCCAAAAUGAAAAUUACGCGAUGGUUCUAAUGACAAAUCCUUGCUACGUUUGAUUUACCCCCAAC